RNAcentral lists this ribosomal RNA (1174 nucleotides) under Catonella sp. oral taxon 164. Its description in RNAcentral is "bacterial SSU rRNA". It matches the Rfam family "Bacterial small subunit ribosomal RNA", at positions 28 to 1200 of the family's 1533-position model. Lineage: Bacteria; Bacillati; Bacillota; Clostridia; Lachnospirales; Lachnospiraceae. The record is from RNAcentral.
GAUGAACGCUGGCGGCGUGCCUAACACAUGCAAGUCGAACGGAGAUUACAGACGGAAGUUUUCGGAUGGAAGUCAGUAAUUCUUAGUGGCGGACGGGUGAGUAACGCGUGGGCAACCUGCCCUAUACAGGGGGAUAGCAGCUGGAAACGGCUGGUAAGACCGCAUAAGUCGUUCUGGUCGCAUGACCGGGACGGGAAAUGAGUAAUCAGGUAUAGGAUGGGCCCGCGUCCGAUUAGCCAGUUGGCAGGGUAAGAGCCUACCAAAGCAACGAUCGGUAGCCGGACUGAGAGGUCGGACGGCCACAUUGGGACUGAGACACGGCCCAAACUCCUACGGGAGGCAGCAGUGGGGGAUAUUGCACAAUGGAGGAAACUCUGAUGCAGCGACGCCGCGUGAGUGAAGAAGUAUUUCGGUAUGUAAAGCUCUAUCAGCAGGGAAGAUGAUGACGGUACCUGACUAAGAAGCCCCGGCUAACUACGUGCCAGCAGCCGCGGUAAUACGUAGGGGGCAAGCGUUAUCCGGAUUUACUGGGUGUAAAGGGAGCGCAGGCGGUUUUGCAAGUUGAGAGUGGAAGCAGGGGGCUCAACCCCCUGACUGCUCCCAAAACUGUAAAACUUGAGUAUGGGAGAGGCAGGCGGAAUUCCUAGUGUAGCGGUGAAAUGCUUAGAUAUUAGGAAGAACACCGGUGGCGAAGGCGGCCUGCUGGACCAAAACUGACGCUGAGGCUCGAAAGCGUGGGUAGCAAACAGGAUUAGAUACCCUGGUAGUCCACGCUGUAAACGAUGAAUACUAGGUGCUGGGAGACAUAAGUUUUUCGGUGCCGUCGCAAACGCAUUAAGUAUUCCACCUGGGGAGUACGUUCGCAAGAAUGAAACUCAAAGGAAUUGACGGGGACCCGCACAAGCGGUGGAGCAUGUGGUUUAAUUCGACGCAACGCGAAGAACCUUACCCGGUCUUGAGAUCCUCCUGAAUACAGGGUAAUGCCUGUAGUCCUUCGGGACAGGAGAGACAGGUGGUGCAUGGUUGUCGUCAGCUCGUGUCGUGAGAUGUUGGGUUAAGUCCCGCAACGAGCGCAACCCUUAUCCUUAGUAGCCAGCGGUUAGGCCGGGCACUCUAGGGAGACUGCCGGGGAUAACCCGGAGGAAGGCGGGGAUGACGUCAAAUCAUCAUGCCC